This is a non-coding RNA of Pelobates cultripes (western spadefoot toad), 220 nucleotides long. The record is from the annotation of a GenBank genome assembly. Lineage: Eukaryota; Metazoa; Chordata; Amphibia; Anura; Pelobatidae.
UUUGUAACAUAUUGUCAAAUUAAUAUUUAAGGGUUAUUUCAAGCACCAAGACAACUUCAGUGAUUUGAAGUGGUCAUGGUGCCUAGAGUCUGUAUGUUCUGCAUUUUGCUUCGUAAGGCUGCACAUGUAGAGUUUAAAAUGAAUUAGGUCCAGACACUCAGGACUGCUGCAGGAAGGCAGGUUUAUUGGAACAAAAAGUGCACUUUUUAUACCAAUAAAC